UGACAAAUAGGACCUUUUUGAAACUCCCACUUAAUAGCAGUCCUAAAUAUGAUUUAAAAAGUUUAAUAUCAGUCCAUUGAAGCAAAGAAAGUGGAAAAUCCUCAACCGUUAAUUGGUCCAGAUGCUAAUGGACAUCAAGAUCAAUUUACUCAGACCACUUGACAAAGUCUCCAACCGGGCAUUGAGUGUGGCCAACAGCCAUUUCCGGGAUUUUUCUAAAAGAAUCGCACGAGUCGUUUUCUCACGACUCUCAAUGAAUCAGCCAUUUCAAAUUCCGUCGCGAAAAUUUCAUUAGAAAAUUUCGAUUUUUAUUCCGUUUAACGUCCCAAUUCGAGCCUGUCCAAGAUGAGCGUAAAAUAAAUUCACAAGCCAUGCCAUAUUUAUUGCUGGAAUGACAGUGGAAGCGAUUGAGUCUGUAAAUAGGCAAAAUUAUCGUGCGGAACCGAAUCAUUUUGGACACCUAAUAGUUUAGGAGCAAAUACAUCGUCCCAGCGCAUUUCAUAAGCCUCAUUUUGCUGUAAACGAUAAAAGAAUAAUGAAACCACCGAGUGAGGCAAAAACACAAAAUUUGUUCCACUUUUGAUGGCUAGCGAGAUUCAGGAGCAUGGUACGGAGUUUAAAGAGUACCGUGACUGCUUCCACGAUUCUAUUAGUCAAGAGCGGUAUCACAAUUUUACCAUUGAUCAUUCUUCUAAUUGCUUCAACAUCUGUUUGAUGAAAUAUAUAGCGCUUCUUGGUUUUAUUUUUAUUGACCUCUGAAAAUCCAUACAUAUAUCAUCGCGGAAUCACUGCGGACUCCUAAAAAAAACAAUCGUUAACUUACUGGCUAAGACAGGCAGCACUGCCCAGAGGGCUCAAGCCAUCACUCGGCAUCAGGCAAAGUGCCUAUUAAAACAAAAAUUUGAAUUGCGUUAGUGAUAUUAACACUAUCUAUAUUUGCGAUAAUCAAGUUGACCUUUUACUUUCAUUCAGUGUCUGGAUUUAAUCUUAAAUAUUUUUUACAAAUGCCACUUGAUUAUUUAAUGUUAUAGUUGUGUUGUUUUGUCUUCUUUAAUUCGAUAUUACGAUUGAUUGGUGCAAUACAUUCCGAAUUUGCGACUUUAUCCGCCUUCAACUCCACCACAUUACGCAAACAUAGGUGUUACCCACGUCACCCACAAAUUUCAACGCCAAAAGUCCCGCCCAAUCGACCUCCAAAGAUUGUAGGUCAAUUUCACCUGAAACUUUUCACCGAGCUUCCAGAAAAAUACCCGAUCUUGGCUCGAUACUCAUAUAACCUUUAAUACUUCUGCUCGGGAUUCGGAAUUUUUUUCGAGUAGUCCGGGUAAUUCGGAGAUUCUGAAUGCUUCCCGGGCUCUAGUUCGUGCAGUCUCUCCUUAUCCCAAUAGAUGGACU
Long non-coding RNA from Cloeon dipterum, 1395 nucleotides. RefSeq lists it as uncharacterized. The record is from RefSeq and is a predicted model, not a curated record. The transcript is spliced from 3 exons. NCBI's taxonomy places the organism in Eukaryota, Metazoa, Arthropoda, Insecta, Ephemeroptera, Baetidae.